GCCCAGCCCAGGCAGCCAGGGCUGUCCCCACCUGCCUGGGUGUGGUCUGGGCCCUGCCCUACUUAACCAGCUGAGCCAGGGGAGGGCUGAGCUGUGCUGCCUGUGCCUAGCUGCUCUGCCCUGGGGACCUGCCGCCCAGUCUCAGAUCCAGGAUGCAGCCAGUCACCACUGGCCUCCUGCUGCUCUUGGCAGCGGCGUUUCCUGUCCUGAAAGCUGAACACCCUAUGGGUGAGUUCACCCUCUGCUCUCCUGCUGCCAGCAUGGUCCCGAGCUGCCCUGGGAGGCGGGAGGGA
This 293-nucleotide long non-coding RNA is filed under the name Chelonoidis abingdonii (Abingdon island giant tortoise). RNAcentral's name for it is "lncRNA (ENSCABG00000012973.1)". Lineage: Eukaryota; Metazoa; Chordata; Testudines; Testudinidae. The record is from RNAcentral.